GGCGGUCUGAUUCUUGGAGUAGCUGCCGCAUGGGAGGAGGGAAAAACAAAGUAAGGGAAUUAGAGCAACCUUGCAUUGCUCCACCAACAUAUGCCACUGGACCAGUGUUUUUCUUGGCAAAGAUUUCUGACAAGCAGUUUAAAAGCUGUGUUUCAGCCUUACUGCAAACUGUGAACCUCACUACAGGCAUCAACCAAGCAACUGUCCCUGGCUCUUCUGCUGAAACUCCAAAUGUUUCUCCAUGGAAAGAGACUGUCGAGUCUAAGGUUUCCCUGUUCCACUUCCAUGGUGGGGUGCAGUGUUGAUAAGGUUAUCAACAAUAAUGAGAUUAAAAGUUAAAAUCCAGCUUUUGCACUAAUCCCAGAGUAUUCUAUUGUUGAGCUAUCAAAGAUUAAGGUUAUAGUAACCUUAUUAACCCUUGAUGUAGUGUAAGUUAAAAGGAAAUGUCAGACCUAAUUCCACCAUGAAAUUAAAUCUUCGCUUCCCUCUCAUCAUUUGAUGAUUCAAACACAGCUUAGUCCAGACAAUAUGUGCUAUGAAAAUAAUAAACUCACAUGAGUAUAAGAAAUUCCAUCUGAGAGACAGAGGGAGAAAGGGACAAUAAUACAUGGGUUAAUUUUGUUUAAAAUUAAAAAAUAAUGUUAAUUCAACCACCAUGUGUUCAGGAGCUAUGCAGCUAGAGCCAGCAGAACAUGUGAAGAAGUAAGGAUCCAGCUGAUGCAGACCUCUGUGGUGCAACAAACAUAGCUCUGUAAUCUGCAGCAGCUCACAUCUGGCCCUGGGCAGAGCAAUUUGUUGUGCAUUGGGCGGGAGCUGUGAUGGCCUCCUUGUCCCCUUCUCUUGCUUGCUGUGUGGCCUUAGUUAUUUCUGCCCAGUGCUAUGGCUGGGUACCACAACACAAGAACUUGAACAUUUCUGCAGAGGUGCUUUGAGUACAAGGGAUGAAGUGAUGAAAACGAAAAUGCGUCAGGAAAAAAAUGAAUGCUGAUCUUUCUGGCAAAGUAGAACCAGGUGCUGGUGUAACAGGCACAGGUUUUCUUGGCUAAGCUGAUUUACAUUGCAUCAAGGAAGUGCCCUCUCACCUGUGCUGAACAUGACCCCUGCUCCCUCCUGCCGAGCCCAUAAGUAGAGCUGAGAGGCUGCUCUGUGACUGAUCUUCUUUGUGCAGAGGGGAAUAUGUUGACUAGUUGAUCAAGAUCUGCUUACAUGUUGAUGGGAAGUAGUCCAGGCUCCUGAGAGAGGGUGAGGGGUGACCUCUGAGCCCCUCCAAAACCAAAGCCUCAUGUCCACUCUCGCUAACGUUACCAGUUCUGCAAGGGACUUGCAUCGUGCUGAAGUGUGGACACAUGAGAGGAGAACAACCCAUCUAGCACGGGACACUUGGAGGAGUGGUAUUGUGUGCUCCAAAAAUGCGAGAGGAAUUGAAGGGGAGCCCCAGACCUGCCUGUGGUCGGCAAUCUCUGACUUCGGCCACACCGCGCAGAUGGAGCAACAUCCCGUGUGCCUGAUCGCUGCAUGAAGCUGCCCAUGAGCUGGCACCCUGACCCAACAGAGAUGCUGCCAGUCCCAGCUCCACCCUGCUAGCUGCUGCCUGCCCACCUGCCUUCUUCCCCCAAGCCAUGGCCCACACACCACCAACACUGCCAUCUCCGUUGCUACCCACAGCACAAAUGCAACGUGGAACAGCGAGUGUGGCUUGAGCAGGCUGAGCUUGUUAAAAGUGUGGUUAAAUAAAUAGUAGGACUGUAAUACUGGGAGGCUGACUGGGAUCGCAAGAUAUCAGUGUCGUAUCCUGUGGCUUUUAUGUAGGGAGAUGUAGAUUUUAGCCAUCACCAUCUGGCUAUCCAACAGAUAAUAACUAGAGGAAAUGGACUUGCAAAUCUUUAGUUGCGAAUAACUGAUAUAUUGUUGCCAGUAAUUUGAGGACCUGGUAAACUGCCAGUAGGAAAAGUUUUUUUUGGAUAUGAUCAGACUUCUAAUACGUGUCAGCUUUUGGCUAUGCAUAAAUUAAAGAAACUUCUUAAUUAUCCACCAUACAUUUUAAACUGCGUGUCCAGAGAACUCAGAUCCUGUAGAACCCAGAUGUGGCUAUCAGCUCCAAAUUCAGGCAAGUAAAUAAAGUAGUGACUCAACUGGUUAUCUUCACAGUACAGAUCGGCCACCACAGUAUCCAGGUGUGAGUUAAAUGCUAUGAGAAAAGAACAAGAAAUAAGCAAAAAAUACAGUAGUGUAGAAUGUGCUUGUGAUUAACUUCUAGAAAAUCUCAACAGCUGGAAUUUUAGAAUGUGAUAUUUAGAAAAAUAUAAAGAGAAAAACAUAUUUAGUGUGUUUUUCUCCAGAGAAAAAAUGCAAUAGGCAUAUAGAUCAAAUUAUAAUACUUAGUAUUUCAAGGACAAAUUCCAGUUGAGGAUCAUGAAGUAAUUGAAAAAUAUUAAUGAUUUAGUCUCACAGCUGGAUUUCAGGUAGAUAAUAAUGAUAAUUAUUGUUACAAAUAUAUACCAUCAUUCUUGCUCUGAAAUGAAAAUUGAGGCAUAGAGGUUUUAUGUAUUUGUCCAAAGUCUGUUUUACUGCUGUAACCAUCCUUCUACAGAAUUACUGUGUAUUAAGUGUGCCCUUUUUCAAAUAUUGUACGUGACAUACUAUUCAGUUCAUGAAUUCUAAAAACCAAGCAGCUGAGCUUCCUUAUGAAGCAGUGCCUGUGAACAUCUCCAUUUGCAUUUGAAUCCUCAAGCAGUGACAAUCCUGCUUAAAAAAAAAAAAAAGAAAAGAAGAAGGGAACGAUGAAAAUCAGAACAAAAUCUGUCAAGGGCCCAUCUGUGACUGCAUAUCAGAAUAUCACUAAGAUGCUCUGAGGAACAAAGUUUUCUCCAAGUCUAACACAUAGUGCAUUUUUGUCUAUGGAAAUAAUUCAAGAUGGGUGAAAUGAGGGCAAAUAACAUGAAAAACUCUGUUUCCCUACUGAACAGUGCAGGAAAGCAGCAUCUCUGUUUCAUGGAUAAUCUUGUUUGUGAUACAUGUACAAAUGAUUAAAUACUAAAGGUUUUACAUAAAAAAAUACUCAGCUUGCUCACAUCUGCUUUAGAUAAGCAUGCAUAACUGUUGCUUCCAGUGAAGCAGCCAGGGGUCUUUGGCCCUGGUAGGUGAGAACUUAGGUUAGGUGUUUGUGGCAAGCUUUCAUAGCCUGCUACCUGAAGCAGCAGGAAAACAAAAGGAUAAACUCCACCCUGGCCUUAUCAAUACUCUUGAAACCACACCUAUUUUCUUCUGAAUAGGAACACACAAAGUUAGAUAAACUAUUUGUAAGCUGUUUAAAUCUCCUCUUCGGGAUCUGAAUUCCUGCAAGCCUUAGUCAUAGCUCUUUGCUCUCACAUAUGCAAUAUUUGGAACUGGUUACUGGAAAUAGGAGAAACAUGGUGUUGUUCUAAUGCACUGUAUUUUUUUUCCUUCUAUUUCUUAACUGUUAGAGUAUGCAAAUAUUUAGUUAACUGGUCUUUUUAUUGAAUUGCUUUCACUAUGGCAAAUAAAUAUUCAUAAAGAUAUGUGGACAAUAAA
Molecule: non-coding RNA, 3552 nt
Organism: Meleagris gallopavo (turkey)
Lineage: Eukaryota; Metazoa; Chordata; Aves; Galliformes; Phasianidae
Source: RefSeq, a predicted model, not a curated record